CUGAACUGCUACUCAACUGUGCUACGUGCAAAACUCUUCCAUGCACUUUUAAGAAGUUGCUCUUAAUUUGGCCAAACCUGAAAAUUAUUGGACGUAAUAGUGCUCCCAUUAUUGUAUUAAUGAGCCAACCUUGGUAAAAGGUUUUGUAGGUUAGGUUGGGUGGCUAUGGCAAUGGCUACGUCAUUAGCCCAUUUUCCGAAAAGUUUUAAAAUUAUUUUUGUAAGAAAAAUAUUGUAUUAAAUGAACUGGAUACAGCGAUGCACCUGUAAAUAGUUACAAUUGAUUUUUUCUUUGUGUAAUAAUUAAUUAAUUUUCAUUCUUUUUGGAAUCGUAAACACUUCCCGUUUUGACAUUUCGAUAAGUUCACUUUUGACAGUAAAAAAUUGUGAAAUUAAUUAAAUAAUUAUUUAUUUUGUAGGGCCAUUUUUGAAACGCAAAAUAACAGCUAAUUUGAACACGCGCAAAAUCCAUUACAAUGGCCAUUGAUGAACCGAUUUUUGUACAGAAGCGUAAUUAUCGCAAAUUACAAACAGAUGCUUAUCAAAUAUCAGGAAAAUCUUUGGACCGACGGCAAUUUUAGCAACUCACUACCUUACUAACUUUGAAAGUACUCAACCACUUUAAAUAAUCCUGUCAGGAGAACUGGUGCCGAGGUGUCGGGUCAGGUCAUCAAUUUUAGUUAAGACAACGUCUGAAAAAUAAAAUGGGGGUGUGAGUAAUCCAGUCCAUCAGAGUGAGACGUCCACAAUCGCCAUUUGUGAACCAAUAAAUGUAACAGUCGUUAACCCAAAAUAAUUAUGCAAAUCUACCAUCAAUAAAAUAUGUAAUUCGAAUAGAAUCGGUUGAGCUCUGUCCAAGGGGUUCAAAAGGUUAACAGUCGCAGUCCUGGUCAAUAGGACUCCAGGAGCAUAGGGAAAACCAGGCAAAGGGUUACCCCUUUGCUCAUAGAUACCAUCCAGCCCGCUUGUCUCUGGAUCAGCAGCAAUCGAGAGACCACCUCGCGGUUCUGACGUGCAAUAAGCAACGCUGCCUUGUCAUCCACCACUUGUCUUAGGUUGUGCAAUGAGUACCCCGGUAAUAUCCGUCCAGCGUCUACUUCGAGACCCGCAGGUCAUUCAACACCAAGCGUGCAAUGGAUAUUAUGUUCAUGGUACUCGCCUAUGACCAACAUAAAAAGGGGGCGGUUCCAGGCAGUGCAAUGAUCACCUUUUUGGCUAACCUGCUCAACUGCUAAUCACACAUAGCCCUGAGCGUGCAAUGGAAGCCCUCUUCAUAGUGCAGGUGGCGAACAAGUCCCUUAACCUCAUAGCCGAAGCCGUUUCACGGACCAACGAGCAAGUGCAAUGAUCACCUUCCAGCGCUCUCCCCACGACCUAUUCUGCAACCUAGACCUGGGGGUGCAAUGAGCGCGGCUGCCUAGUGAUCCCCCGCGUCCACAAAUAAACAUAAACCAGACCUGGAGGCCUCGCGACGCCGCGACCCUCCAGCGUCCCCUGUUGGGUUAAUCUCGGCGUGCAAUGGGCAUUUUCGAGCGCCGCCCCGCCUCAAGCUUAACCGUGGAUUAAUUAAGGAUAGACAGACUAACAAAGUUUAGCUCGACAUGUCGGGGCUCAACUCAAUCUUAUUCAUAGUUCGUCAACUCUCAAUUCAAUAUCAUUCUCAUCAAGUAUCACCAACUUUAGUAUCAACCUAUCAACUGAUGAAUAGCGCAUUAAUUCAACUUCAGUUUGAUAUUGUACUCAAUACUCACGCAGGUUUCUGAUGAACGUUAUCAACAAUUAUAAAUAUCAACACCGCAGCAAUUAAAAUAAUGAUUGAACGACUCACCCUACCGUUGAUAUGGUAAUUAUUAUAAAUCUCUACACCUUAUUGGAUUGAAAAUCCUCACACACCAACAAACUAGGAUUACUUACUCAGUGAUAACUCACCUUGAUUCACUUAAGAAAUUACUUUAAGUCACUCUAACUUGGAACUGACUCUAGCUCACACUACCCCUCUAAAACUAAAAACUCAUAUGCAAAAUUGCAUAUUCGAAGGCGUCUUUCUCACGGUCGACUUGGGGUGGUCUGCUUGUCACCCUGACUAGCUAAUAAAUUAUGAUCAAGUGUUUAUGUUUCUCGAAAUAAAAGUCUCGGGGUCUUUUCGGAACUUUACUGACUAAUUACCCUAAUUAUCUACAUGCUAAUCUAUGACGAAAAGUAAAAAAAAAACAAACUACCAUUAAAUUAAAAUAUAAAUAAAAAAAAAUUCUGACCGCGUGGACUUCAUCCUACAACUUGUUACAUCUUUUUCGGUGGAAUGCUUUGUAAAUUAAUUUCCAAUUAGUGCUGCGCUUUAUGGUCCCCUCAACCCAACGGACGGAACAUGUAUGGCAAGAAGUUUAUUUUUAGUCCACUUUGGUGAUCUUGGGGCAAGUUGCUGUGAUAAUUUAAAUAACUUAAUUAUGGAUAAUAGACCUAAAUCGAUAUUUCGGGACUUAUACAACCUUCCUUAUAAAAACAAUUUUUUCAAAUUAUCAACUAAUGCUAAAGACGACGGUGAUCUUAUACAGAGACUAGGUUUGCUCAAGAAGUUAGAAAUCCAUCAAGGCUGUGUCAACACCAUUUGUUGGAACAGCACAGGAGAGUAUAUUUUGUCGGGUUCAGACGACCAGCAUUUAAUCAUAACAAAUGGGCACACAUACAAAGUUGAAACCAAUUAUUGCACCAGCCACCAUGCGAACAUCUUCAGUGCUAAGUUCUUGCCAUGCUCUUCUGAUAAACAGAUCGUUUCGUGUUCAGGCGAUGGAAUCAUCUUACACACAGAUCUCGAAAACACCAAAAAUACUUACUACAACCAGUUCAGUUGCCAUGCAGGAACCACUUAUGAGGUGAUUACCAUCCCAAAUGAUCCCAAUAUACGUUUCUCAGUUGUGGGGAGGAUGGCACAGUGCGUUGGUUUGAUUUGAGGACAAAGACAAGUUGCCGAAAACCGCGUUGUAAAGAAGAUAUUUUAAUUAAGUGUCAGAGAGCUGUUACAGCUCUUGCAAUAAGUCCAACUGCACCUCAUCAGCUUGCAGUUGGAUGCGCUGAUUCAACAGUGCGUAUUUAUGACAGACGUUGUCUUAGUACUCAAGUCGAGGAUCCUUUAAAGGCUCGACCAUUCUGUAGUUUCAUCGCCCCAAAUCUGGAAGACCGAAGAUACAGAAUAACUUCACUCAGCUACAGUCAUGACGGUCAAGAUAUGCUAGUCUAGAUUAUCUGUAUCUAUUUAGGAUACAGGAGAAUCAGCUAGCUGAAUUAAAAAAACCCAUUAAAGCGUCUCCUUGGGAGAAAGUUAAAAUGUUAGCAGGCCAACGAGAACGUGUCAAUAAUUCGCCACCUCAUAUGCGAAGGUUACGUUUAAGAGGAGAUUGGUCUGAUACUGGACCAGAUGCACGUCCAGAAAGAGACACAACGACAACUGUCAGUAUUGGUCAAGCGAGACCACAAUUACAUGCCACUUUGAUGCAGCGUAUGACCGAUGUUCUCUCACAAAUGUUGAAUGAUCCAAUGACAAGAGCGGCUUUGAGUGCAGGAGGAGAGAAUGAAACGUCGCAAAGAAAUAUUUUAGGUGAAAGACAAAGUAAUUCGUCUGCUCAGGAAGAGAACGCAGAACAGCCGGUGGAACAAAGUCAGAAUGAAGCGGAAGGAGAGCAAAGUGUUCACACAGAGGCAGAAGAAGUUGCCACAACAAGCAGGUAACAUGAUGAGAACAAUAGAAAAAAAAUGAAACCAGUCACAAUUUAUUCAUUUUAUAUUUUUCAAAAUUUAAUUUGCAUAGGUUUAGCUUUUUAGUUUUAAAGUGUCGCAAAUCCUAAGAUUAUUGCAAAAAAAUUCAAUGAAAAAAAUUGGUUUAAUUAAUAACGU
Molecule: RNA transcript, 3887 nt
Organism: Tribolium castaneum (red flour beetle)
Lineage: Eukaryota; Metazoa; Arthropoda; Insecta; Coleoptera; Tenebrionidae
Exons: 8
Source: RefSeq, a predicted model, not a curated record